AUUGAACGCUGGCGGCAGGCCUAACACAUGCAAGUCGAACGGUAACAGAAAGCAGCUUGCUGCUUUGCUGACGAGUGGCGGACGGGUGAGUAAUGUCUGGGAAACUGCCUGAUGGAGGGGGAUAACUACUGGAAACGGUAGCUAAUACCGCAUAACGUCUCAAGCCCAAAGAGGGGGACCUUCGGGCCUCUUGCCAUCGGAUGUGCCCAGAUGGGAUGAGCUAGUAGGUGGGGUAACGGCUCACCUAGGCGACGAUCCCUAGCUGGUCUGAGAGGAUGACCAGCCACACUGGAACUGAGACACGGUCCAGACUCCUACGGGAGGCAGCAGUGGGGAAUAUUGCACAAUGGGCGCAAGCCUGAUGCAGCCAUGCCGCGUGUAUGAAGAAGGCCUUCGGGUUGUAAAGUACUUUCAGCGGGGAGGAAGGGAGUAAAGUUAAUACCUUUGCUCAUUGACGUUACCCGCAGAAGAAGCACCGGCUAACUACGUG
This 490-nucleotide ribosomal RNA is filed under the name uncultured bacterium. Its description in RNAcentral is "partial 16S ribosomal RNA". It matches the Rfam family "Bacterial small subunit ribosomal RNA", at positions 30 to 507 of the family's 1533-position model. The record is from RNAcentral.